Molecule: ribosomal RNA, 409 nt
Filed under: bacterium
Lineage: Bacteria
Description: partial 16S ribosomal RNA
Rfam family: Bacterial small subunit ribosomal RNA
Source: RNAcentral
UGGGGAAUAUUGCACAAUGGGCGAAAGCCUGAUGCAGCGACGCCGCGUGAGGGAUGACGGCCUUCGGGUUGUAAACCUCUUUCAGCAGGGACGAAGCGCAAGUGACGGUACCUGCAGAAGAAGCACCGGCUAACUACGUGCCAGCAGCCGCGGUAAUACGUAGGGUGCAAGCGUUGUCCGGAAUUACUGGGGGUAAAGAGUUCGUAGGCGGUUUGUCGCGUCGUUUGUGGAAACCAGCAGCUCAACUGCUGGCUUGCAGGCGAUACGGGCAGACUUGAGUACUGCAGGGGAGAGUGGAAUUCCUGGUGUAGCGGUGAAAUGCGCAGAUAUCAGGAGGAACACCGGUGGCGGAGGCGGGUCUCUGGGCAGUAACUGACGCUGAGGAACGAAAGCGUGGGGAGCGAACAGG